UGCUUGCUCAUUCUGCAGUCAUUCCUGACUCAGGGAGGGAUGAGGACCGAGGCCGAGGGCUUUGGGGACUGCUCGCCAGCCUCACAUUUUUCACCACACAGAGCAGACCGUUUCAGCACCUGGUCACGCUAGGCUGACUGCAGCUACUGGGGGCUUCCUCGUCUGGACACGGGAGAAGGGCCAGCAUCGUAAGUUUACGGCAAGGGUUCCAAGAGGGGCUGUGGCAAACCUGCAGCCAGGACCUGCCUGUGGCAUAUUAUUACCAAGAGACCUUCUACAAAGAAUCUACCCUAAGACAAAGAGAGCUUUCCGGGAGCUCCGCGGACAGUGGUGACCUGGCCAACACCGGGAACAGACGCAAGAAUAUGAGAAGCAAUCCCAGGCAGUCCAUGGUGAAGAAACCAAAGAUGAGCGUUUUGGUGGUAACGACAAGAAAAAGUGUGUGGAAGCACCUGUGUCAUCUGACACAGAGCAGGGCUUGACAGACGCAGCUCUUCUGCUUGUUGUCAAAGUGAUGGGCUGUUACAUGAGUUCUGAGAAAUCUGGCUUUUGCGCUUGAUGAGAGAUAUUGCAACUUUUUCAUUUUGCUGCCUGAAAUGCGGAUCUGUAAGCAUUCUCUUGGAGGAGAGGUUUCAUGCUUAAUUUCAGAAUGGCUCCACUGUAGUAUCCUUCCCACGGCAAAAUCAGCCUUUAUGCUCCCCUCAAAUAAACUUCAGCUCGUUGAUUAAAGCAUUGUGAAAAGUCAUGUCAA
Long non-coding RNA from Ailuropoda melanoleuca (giant panda), 751 nucleotides. RefSeq lists it as uncharacterized. NCBI's taxonomy places the organism in Eukaryota, Metazoa, Chordata, Mammalia, Carnivora, Ursidae. The transcript is spliced from 4 exons. The record is from RefSeq and is a predicted model, not a curated record.